This 895-nucleotide ribosomal RNA is filed under the name uncultured archaeon. Its description in RNAcentral is "bacterial SSU rRNA". It matches the Rfam family "Archaeal small subunit ribosomal RNA", at positions 13 to 887 of the family's 1478-position model. The record is from RNAcentral.
CCUGCCGGACCCCACUGCUAUCGGUAUGGGACUAAGACAUGCUAGUCGUGCGCUUUCUAGCCAUGCUGGAAGCGCGGCACACAGCUCAGUAGCACGUGGCUAACCUGCCCUUGGGACGGGAACAACCCCGGGAAACUGGGGCUAAUUCCCGAUAGGUGAAGAUCCCUGGAAUGGGUUUUCGCCCAAAAGACGUUUGGGUCAUGCUUUCAGACGUUGCCCAAGGAUGGGGCCGCGGCCGAUCAGGUUGUUGGUGAGGUAACGGCUCACCAAGCCUUUGACCGGUUCGGGCCGUGAGAGCGGUAGCCCGGAGAUGGGCACUGAGACAAGGGCCCAGGCCCUACGGGGCGCAGCAGUCGCGAUAACUUCGCUAUAAGCGAAAGCUUGACGGGGUCAUCCAGAGUGCCAUCUGCUGAGGAUGGCUUUUACCCAGUAUAGAUAGCUGGAGGAAUAAGGAGAGGGCAAGUCUGGUGUCAGCCGCCGCGGUAAUACCAGCUCUCCGAGUUGUGGGGACGUUUAUUGAGCCUGAAGCAUCCGUAGCCGGCUGUGUAAGUCCUCUGUUAAUCCAGCGACUAAUCGUUGGCCUGCGGGGGAUACUGCUCGGCUAGGGGGCGGGAGAGGCCGUCGGUAUUCUUGGGGUAGGGGUGAAAUCCUAUAAUCCCAGGAGGACCACCAGUGGCGAAGGCUGUCGGCUAGAACGCGCCCGACGGUGAGGGAUGAAAGCUGGGGGAGCGAACCGGAUUAGAUACCCGGGUAGUCCCAGCUGUAAACGAUGCAGGCUAGGUGUUAGGGCGGCUACGUGCCGCUCUAGUGCCGCAGGGAAGCUGUUAAGCCUGCCGCUUGGGGAGUACGGCCGCAAGACUGAAACUUAAAGGAAUUGGCGGGAAGGGCGAAUUCG